AGAGUUUGAUCCUGGCUCAGAGCGAACGCUGGCGGCAGGCUUAACACAUGCAAGUCGAGCGGAUGUAGCAAUACAUCAGCGGCAGACGGGUGAGUAACACGUGGGAACGUACCUUUUGGUUCGGAACAACACAGGGAAACUUGUGCUAAUACCGGAUAAGCCCUUACGGGGAAAGAUUUAUCGCCGAAAGAUCGGCCCGCGUCUGAUUAGCUAGUUGGUGAGGUAAUGGCUCACCAAGGCGACGAUCAGUAGCUGGUCUGAGAGGAUGAUCAGCCACAUUGGGACUGAGACACGGCCCAAACUCCUACGGGAGGCAGCAGUGGGGAAUAUUGGACAAUGGGCGCAAGCCUGAUCCAGCCAUGCCGCGUGAGUGAUGAAGGCCCUAGGGUUGUAAAGCUCUUUUGUGCGGGAAGAUAAUGACGGUACCGCAAGAAUAAGCCCCGGCUAACUUCGUGCCAGCAGCCGCGGUAAUACGAAGGGGGCUAGCGUUGCUCGGAAUCACUGGGCGUAAAGGGUGCGUAGGCGGGUCUUUAAGUCAGGGGUGAAAUCCUGGAGCUCAACUCCAGAACUGCCUUUGAUACUGAAGAUCUUGAGUUCGGGAGAGGUGAGUGGAACUGCGAGUGUAGAGGUGAAAUUCGUAGAUAUUCGCAAGAACACCAGUGGCGAAGGCGGCUCACUGGCCCGAUACUGACGCUGAGGCACGAAAGCGUGGGGAGCAAACAGGAUUAGAUACCCCGGUAGUCC
RNAcentral lists this ribosomal RNA (744 nucleotides) under uncultured bacterium. Its description in RNAcentral is "bacterial SSU rRNA". It matches the Rfam family "Bacterial small subunit ribosomal RNA", at positions 8 to 796 of the family's 1533-position model. The record is from RNAcentral.